This 202-nucleotide small RNA is filed under the name Schinkia azotoformans LMG 9581. RNAcentral's name for it is "Bacillus azotoformans LMG 9581 Bacillus sRNA ncr1575". It matches the Rfam family "Bacillus sRNA ncr1575". The record is from Rfam by way of RNAcentral. Lineage: Bacteria; Bacillati; Bacillota; Bacilli; Caryophanales; Bacillaceae.
UAAUAAACAACAGAAGGGAUGAUGGGUGGCCGAUGUUAAACUAAUCUUAUUUUUAAAAGUUUGAAAUGAAAAUAUUUCAAAUCAUACAAAAUAGGAUUAGUCUGCCCAUUUUUCAUAUAUAACUUGAGCUAUUAGUGAAUAGCUUUAUUUGAGUACACAAAAAUGCGACUAAUCCUUCCAACAAAAUUGGGAGGAUUUUUUA